RNAcentral lists this unclassified non-coding RNA (360 nucleotides) under soil metagenome. Its description in RNAcentral is "partial contains 5.8S ribosomal RNA, internal transcribed spacer 2, and large subunit ribosomal RNA". The stretch from base 1 to 120 matches the Rfam family "5.8S ribosomal RNA", at positions 35 to 154 of the family's 154-position model. The record is from RNAcentral.
GAUGAAGAACGUAGUGAAAUGCGAUAAGUAAUGUGAAUUGCAGAAUUCAGUGAAUCAUCGAAUCUUUGAACGCACAUUGCGCCCGCCAGUAUUCUGGCGGGCAUGCCUGUUCGAGCGUCAUUUCAACCCUCAAGACCCCUUCGGGGGACUUGGUGUUGGGGACCGGCAUAGGGGCCUUGCGCCCCUCGCCGCCCCCGAAAUGAAUUGGUGGCCUCGUCGCGGCCUCCCCUGCGUAGUAGCACAACCUCGCAACGGGAACGUGACGGCGGCCACUGCCGUAAAACAACCCAAUUUUAUUAGAGUUGACCUCGAAUCAGGUAGGAAUACCCGCUGAACUUAAGCAUAUCAAUAAGCGGAGGA